Molecule: long non-coding RNA, 418 nt
Filed under: Mytilus galloprovincialis (Mediterranean mussel)
Lineage: Eukaryota; Metazoa; Mollusca; Bivalvia; Mytilida; Mytilidae
Source: RNAcentral
CCGGGAAAUUGGUUUGAAAUCAAAGAAAAAUGUCUGCAAAGCAGGACUAAAAAUAACCAGGAUUCAGUUGUCAAAUAUGUCGACAUCAAACAUUACUGCACAGACUUUAUUAAAAUGCAAAUUUGGUGCAUAGCAGUUGCACCGCUUAAUGAUUAAUAAGUUUAAAUUGUUCUUCAUUUUAACAGAUUAUACGCAGAACACGUAUUCAUUAGCAACAAAUUUCUUCCGGAAAAUUGGUUUGAAAUCAAAGAUAAAUAUCUAAAACAAGGAUUUAAAAUAAUCAGGAUUCGAUUUUCAAAUAGGUAGACCUCUGGCAUCACUGCACAGAUAUUAUCUAUCGAGAUGCACAUCUUGUCCAAUAAAAUUGCAUUGUUUAAUAAUUAGUAAGAAUACAUUUGUAUUACUUUUUAUGCAGAUU